UUCACCAUCAAGUCUCAAAGUUCAAAUAAAAAAACAAACAAAUGGAGAGCACAAAUCACUAACACCACUGUUAAUUUCUUGCCCCAACCCAAAUUCAUAUGUGUGCCUUAAGUUCUCACAGGAUACAGCUACUUGUUUGUCACAUUUCUCCAGUAAACAUGAGAAGACUAAUUUAGCAUCAGACAUCUCAGCUAAGCUGUCUCAUAGCACUUAUGAAAAAGGUCAUAAACAUGAAAAAUGGGAGGUAGAUUCGUACUACAGUUUGCCAGUUCCCAGUGCAUCACUAGCACUGAAAGAUCUUUAAAAUAUUAAUUUUUAUCUCAUUGAAUCCAAGACACUAUGUAUUAUAAGACAGAUCAUUUUAUUUUGUGCCAAUAAGGAAGGAAAGAAGGGCUGAUAAUUAAAGCACAGCGUUCCACUGUUUUAAACCUCAUCCUGAUCACAAAGAUAUUCAGCUAGAAAACAACUUCCAUCUCAGGAUUGAUGAAUGAGCUCAUGAGAAGAAUUCCUGACUGAUGAAUGAAGGAGCAUUUCUUUCAUUCUAAUCUGACCGCUUGUUCUUUUCAGUUCUGCUUUUCAUUUCAAGGGGUUUGGGAAAGAAAGCUUUCUCUAGGAAGAGGAAGUAAUGACCUCCACUCAACCAUGUUUGGAAUGAGUAUGCUUCUUUCUGGGGAAGGAUUCCGUUAAUCCAAUUAUAUAUGCAACAUCACCCCCCCACCCCGCCCCGUUCCCUGCCCCAAGAUGUUUCAUCCUCAUCAUUUGAAUUCUGUAAGUAAGUUUAGGCUUUCCCUCAGGAUCACAGAAUACUGAAAUAAAACUUAUUCUCUGUUUGCUAAUAAAGAGCAA
Long non-coding RNA from Dipodomys spectabilis (banner-tailed kangaroo rat), 846 nucleotides. RefSeq lists it as uncharacterized. Lineage: Eukaryota; Metazoa; Chordata; Mammalia; Rodentia; Heteromyidae. The transcript has 2 exons. The record is from RefSeq and is a predicted model, not a curated record.